This 497-nucleotide ribosomal RNA is filed under the name uncultured bacterium. RNAcentral describes it as "partial 16S ribosomal RNA". It matches the Rfam family "Bacterial small subunit ribosomal RNA", at positions 28 to 507 of the family's 1533-position model. The record is from RNAcentral.
GACGAACGCUGGCGGCGUGCCUAAUACAUGCAAGUUGAGCGAUGAAGAUUGGUGCUUGCACCAAUUUGCAGAGCAGCGAACGGGUGAGUAACGCGUGGGUAAUCUGCCUUUGAGCGGGGGACAACAUUUGGAAACGAAUGCUAAUACCGCAUAACAACUUUAAACAUAAGUUUUAAGUUUGAAAGAUGCAAUUGCAUCACUCAAAGAUGAUCCCGCGUUGUAUUAGCUAGUUGGUGAGGUAAAGGCUCACCAAGGCGAUGAUACAUAGCCGACCUGAGAGGGGGAUCGGCCACAUUGGGACUGAGACACGGCCCAAACUCCUACGGGAGGCAGCAGUAGGGAAUCUUCGGCAAUGGACGAAAGUCUGACCGAGCAACGCCGCGGGAGGGAAGAAGGGUUUCGGAUCGUAAAACUCUGUUGGUAGAGAAGAACGUUGGUGAGAGUGGAAAGCUCAUCAAGUGACGGUAACUACCCAGAAAGGGACGGCUAACUACGUG